Cicer arietinum (chickpea) is the source of this 2470-nucleotide non-coding RNA. Lineage: Eukaryota; Viridiplantae; Streptophyta; Magnoliopsida; Fabales; Fabaceae. The record is from RefSeq and is a predicted model, not a curated record.
AAGCUUUGCAUUGUUGAGUAGUUUUUCUUUGCGUGCAGUCUAUGGAUAGUAGUAAUAAAUUCACACCUCACACCAGCAUAUCAAUAUCAAUAUCAAAAUCAAAGGAAAUAAAUAAAUAAAGGGGAAAAAAAUUUAAAUUAAUUACCGAUAAUAAGUCACAUUCAUAAGAGAUGAAAUGAGAAAAAUCAAAAGAGGAAGACAACCUUAUUACCUUACAAUUACUGAAUUGCAUUUCUGAAAUUGAUGUUUGUUUUUUCAUAAACACACAUAUGCAUGCUUUGUAAGACAUUUUCUUGUGUUCUAAAACUCAUCCAUCACCUACCACUGAUAACUCCACCCCUUCUUUUUUCUUCAUCUUUUUUUUUUUUUAUCAUCACAACAAUUCAAUUCAAUUCAACCUUUUUUUUUUCUAUGUAUUUUUUUUUUGUUCUUCAGAUAGCUCCAUUUCAUCUUAGAUUCAUUCAUAACCACUCACAUUUUCCACACCCCAUAUAAACAAUUUUCAUCUAUAUACAUAUUGUUGCUUUUGUUGACACUUUCCUAGAUUUAGGGUAUAAAAAAGAACAAACCUUUUUGUUUUGUUCUUUUGUUUGUGUUUCUUAACUUGUCACACUGUUGAUUCUGAGAUCUGGGUUUUGAAGGUUGUCACUUAAGGUAUAUUACCAAGGCUUCUUUCUUUUUUUUUUUUGGUAAGAAAUGGGUUCUAAUCUUAAUACAGAAUUAUCAAAGAAAACUCCUAUUUUUGGUAUAAAGGUUUGGGAAAUAAUUGCAAUUGUAGUUGCUUUGUCUAUUAUAGUUAUCCUUUCUGUGUUCUCACUUUGUCUUACUUCAAGAAAGAAAUCUAGAAAAGCAAGGGAUAAGAUUCCUGUUACUGAGAUACCAAAUGUGUCAAAGGAAAUUACGGAAGUGAGGGUUGAACAACUAUCAUCAACAAAUGGAUUUGUUCCUAGUGACAGAGAAUCAGAUAAAGUUAUGGUUCAUUUAGGUGUAGGGAAAAUGAAGAAUGGUGAUAGUAGUAGCCAUUCAGAUUCAUUUCAUCAAUACAUGGAGAAAGAUGGUGGUUCAUAUUCACAAUCAGGAGAAGAAAGUAGUUGUGGCACAGUUACUGUAUAUAAGAAGAACUCUUCUUCUUCAUACCCUUUAACAGCUCCUUCACCUUUAUGUGGUCUUCCUGAAUUUUCUCACUUAGGUUGGGGUCAUUGGUUUACUUUGAGGGAUCUUGAACUUGCUACGAAUCGAUUUGCCAAAGAAAACGUGCUUGGUGAAGGUGGGUAUGGAGUGGUUUAUAAGGGACAUUUGAUCAAUGGGAGUCCAGUUGCUGUUAAAAAGAUACUCAAUAAUACUGGUCAAGCAGAGAAAGAAUUUAGAGUGGAAGUUGAAGCUAUUGGCCAUGUUAGACACAAAAACUUGGUUCGCCUUUUGGGAUACUGCGUUGAGGGAAUUCAUAGGAUGUUAGUCUACGAGUAUGUCAAUAAUGGAAACUUGGAGCAAUGGCUUCAUGGAGCUAUGCGUCACCAUGGCUAUCUUACUUGGGAAGCACGUACCAAGGUUCUCCUAGGCACAGCCAAAGCGCUUGCAUAUUUGCAUGAAGCAAUUGAGCCAAAGGUGGUACACCGAGAUAUCAAGUCGAGCAACAUAUUAAUCGAUGAUGAUUUCAAUGCCAAGGUUUCUGAUUUUGGCCUGGCAAAAUUAUUGGGUGCUGGGAAGAGUCAUGUCACAACCCGAGUUAUGGGAACCUUUGGAUAUGUGGCUCCUGAAUAUGCAAACACCGGCCUUCUAAACGAGAAGAGCGAUGUUUAUAGCUUUGGUGUUUUGCUAUUGGAAGGAAUUACAGGAAGAGAUCCAGUUGAUUAUGGUCGUCCGACAAAUGAAGUGAAUCUAGUUGACUGGAUGAAGAUGAUGGUUGGAAGCAGAAGAUCAGAAGAAGUGGUGGACCCAAACAUUGAGGUGAAACCAUCAACUAGAGCUUUGAAACGGGCUCUCUUAACCGCUUUAAGAUGUGUUGAUCCAGAUUCUGAGAAAAGGCCCAAGAUGAGCCAAGUUGUACGAAUGCUGGAGUCCGAGGAAUACCCUUUAGCAAGAGAGGACCGAAGGCACAGAAGAAGAAAUCAAGGGGGUAGUGCAGAAAUUGAAUCUCAGAGGGAAUUUUCUGACACAGACAAGAGUGAGAUUCAGAGUUAUAGAGAAGAGAUCAGAGGGUAACAGCACACAUGAUCCAAACAAGGAUUCAUUUUGAGAUUCAAUGGUUUAAUGGGAUGUAUAAAGUAAUAAAAAUUAUUUGCGGUGAGCGUGGAUCGAACACGCGACCUUCAGAUCUUCAGUCUGACGCUCUCCCAACUGAGCUAUCCCCGCUGAUGAAAAUUGUGGUAUAUACAAUACUUAAAUAGAAAGAAUCAUAUCAAAGAGAUUCCAAUUUCACGAAUGUUUCAACUUGCAACCUACUUUGGAAUAAUAAAGGUGUGUUUGGGAA